GAUGAAGAACGUAGCAAAAUGCGAUACUUGGUGUGAAUUGCAGAAUCCCGUGAACCAUCGAGUUUUUGAACGCAAGUUGCGCCCGAAGCCUUUUGGCCGAGGGCACGUCUGCCUGGGCGUCACGCAUCGCGUCGCCCCCCACAAUUCUCCGUAAAGGGAACAUGUGUUUUGGGGGCGGAUAUUGGUCUCCCGUGCUCAUGGCGUGGUUGGCCGAAAUAGGAGUCCUUUCGAUGGACGCACGAACUAGUGGUGGUCGUAAAAACCCUCGUCUUUUGUUUCGUGCUGUUGGUCGCAAGGUAAACUCUUUAAAAACCCCAAUGUGUCGUCUCUUGACGACGCUUCGACCGCGACCCCAGGUCAGGCGGGACUAGCCGCUGAGUUUAAGCAUAUCAAUAAGCGGAGGA
This 404-nucleotide unclassified non-coding RNA is filed under the name soil metagenome. Its description in RNAcentral is "partial contains 5.8S ribosomal RNA, internal transcribed spacer 2, and large subunit ribosomal RNA". The stretch from base 1 to 122 matches the Rfam family "5.8S ribosomal RNA", at positions 35 to 154 of the family's 154-position model. The record is from RNAcentral.